GGAAUAUUGGUCAAUGGACGUAAGUCUGAACCAGCCAUGCCGCGUGAAGGAUGAAGGUCCUCUGGAUUGUAAACUUCUUUUAUCUGGGACGAAACCCCCGAAUUCUUUCGGGACUGACGGUACCAGAGGAAUCAGCACCGGCUACCUCCGUGCCAGCAGCCGCGGUAAUACGGAGGGUGCAAGCGUUAUCCGGAUUCACUGGGUUUAAAGGGUGCGUAGGCGGGCCUGUAAGUCAGUGGUGAAAUCCUGGGGCUUAACCCCAGAACUGCCGUUGAUACUAUAGGUCUUGAAUGUUGUGGAGGUGAGCGGAAUAUGUCAUGUAGCGGUGAAAUGCUUAGAGAUGACAUAGAACACCAAUUGCGAAGGCAGCUCACUACGCAACGAUUGACGCUGAGGCACGAAAGCGUGGGGAUCAAA
RNAcentral lists this ribosomal RNA (417 nucleotides) under uncultured bacterium. RNAcentral's name for it is "bacterial SSU rRNA". It matches the Rfam family "Bacterial small subunit ribosomal RNA", at positions 358 to 772 of the family's 1533-position model. The record is from RNAcentral.